RNAcentral lists this ribosomal RNA (490 nucleotides) under uncultured bacterium. RNAcentral describes it as "partial 16S ribosomal RNA". It matches the Rfam family "Bacterial small subunit ribosomal RNA", at positions 30 to 507 of the family's 1533-position model. The record is from RNAcentral.
AUUGAACGCUGGCGGCAGGCCUAACACAUGCAAGUCGAACGGUAACAGGAAGAAGCUUGCUUCUUUGCUGACGAGUGGCGGACGGGUGAGUAAUGUCUGGGAAACUGCCUGAUGGAGGGGGAUAACUACUGGAAACGGUAGCUAAUACCGCAUAACGUCGCAAGACCAAAGAGGGGGACCUUCGGGCCUCUUGCCAUCGGAUGUGCCCAGAUGGGAUUAGCUAGUAGGUGGGGUAACGGCUCACCUAGGCGACGAUCCCUAGCUGGUCUGAGAGGAUGACCAGCCACACUGGAACUGAGACACGGUCCAGACUCCUACGGGAGGCGGCAGUGGGGAAUAUUGCACAAUGGGCGCAAGCCUGAUGCAGCCAUGCCGCGUGUAUGAAGAAGGCCUUCGGGUUGUAAAGUACUUUCAGCGGGGAGGAAGGGAGUAAAGUUAAUACCUUUACUCAUUGACGUUACCCGCAGAAGAAGCACCGGCUAACUCCGUG